CGGGACGGGGUGGAGUAAUAUCUGGGAAACUGCCUGAUGGAGGGGGAUAACUACUGGAAACGGUAGCUAAUACCGCAUAACGUCGCAAGACCAAAGAGGGGGACCUUCGGGCCUCUUGCCAUCGGAUGUGCCCAGAUGGGAUUAGCUAGUAGGUGGGGUAACGGCUCACCUAGGCGACGAUCCCUAGCUGGUCUGAGAGGAUGACCAGCCACACUGGAACUGAGACACGGUCCAG
Molecule: ribosomal RNA, 235 nt
Filed under: uncultured bacterium
Lineage: Bacteria
Description: partial 16S ribosomal RNA
Rfam family: Bacterial small subunit ribosomal RNA
Source: RNAcentral